AAGUCGUAACAAGGUCUCCGUUGGUGAACCAGCGGAGGGAUCAUUACAGAGUUGCAAAACUCCCCAAAACCAUUGUGAACCUUACCUUCAACCGUUGCUUCGGCGGGCGGGCCACAGCGCCCCCCGGGCCCCCCCAGCGGGGCGCCCGCCGGAGGAUACCCAAACUCUUGAUACUUUAUGGCCUCUCUGAGUCUUCUGUACUGAAUAAGUCAAAACUUUCAACAACGGAUCUCUUGGUUCUG
RNAcentral lists this unclassified non-coding RNA (242 nucleotides) under fungal sp. RNAcentral's name for it is "partial internal transcribed spacer region". The stretch from base 1 to 46 matches the Rfam family "Eukaryotic small subunit ribosomal RNA", at positions 1786 to 1831 of the family's 1831-position model. Lineage: Eukaryota; Fungi. The record is from RNAcentral.